UUCCGUAGGUGAACCUGCGGAAGGAUCAUUCGCACAUGCUUCAAUUCAACUGUGUUGUUUAUCUGUGUAUCAUCUUCUUGGAAAUGCUCUUCGGAGAUGUAUGUUGGUGUUUGGCUGGGCGGAUUGCAAUGCAUGCCUGUCCGCUCUCAUCGCUAAAUCACUACAUGAUUCCUCGUCCUAAAUUUUCUUAUUCGCUGUUUGUUUGAAAAGCUAAGAAUUUUCAGUUAUGAAUGUCUCGGUUCGAACGACGAUGAAGGGUGCAGCGAAGUGCGAUAAGCAUUGUGAAUUGCAGAAUUCCGUGAGCCGACAGGAACUUGAACAUAUAUUGUGCUUUUGGGAUAUCCCUAAAAGCAUGUGUGCUUCAGUGACAAUAACUUACUGUUUCAGUGAGUGUCACACUUGAUACGAUACACAUUCACUUUGUUCUAUUAGUCUUCAAAUCGUGUUGGUUUCGUGCGGAUGCUAAUGUGAGGUCUGUGAUUGAUAAGGCCAUUGUGUGUCGAUCAGCUUACAAAGCACUAUCGUGUUGAAGCUGAUGAUGCCCGUUGCAAUGUGGGUCUUGCUAUCUCGAUCUCGAUGUGCGAACACAUGUCAUGAAGUUAGGCUUGCAAACUCGCUGAAUUUAAGCAUAUCAAU
Molecule: ribosomal RNA, 636 nt
Filed under: uncultured eukaryote
Lineage: Eukaryota
Description: eukaryotic LSU rRNA
Rfam family: 5.8S ribosomal RNA (bases 216-370)
Source: RNAcentral